CAAGAAUGGCUUUUUGGUUCUUUAGGUCACUUAUUUGAAGGGACUAUAUAAAGGACUUUAUAGCCUAAAUUCAUUAAAGGUUUUCUUUUGGAGAAAAUUGGAGAGAACAUGUCUCUCCCUUUCUCUCUAAAGAGGCCGGCCCCCUUGGAGGGAUUAGCUAGUAAUCUUUCUCCUCCAAGGUCACUCAUUUCUUCAUCAAUCUUACCUUGGUGUGGAGACUUAGAGGUUCUCAAUUUUUGGGAACUUGGAGAACCAUUUCAUCCAUCCAAAUCCAUAGAUCUAAGAUGCAAGGAAUGAAGGCCCUCUCUUUAGGUGAUUAGCCUUUGCAGAUGCAAAGAGGAAUCUACAAAGGUAUAAUUUCUCAACUCUUUUUUAUUUGAGUUGAGUCUUGGUUCACCAAUCUACUAGGCUUUGAAUUUCAUGGUUAAUGUUUUGUUUUUAAGUGCAUGCAAGCAUGAUUCCGCCUUUAAUUGUUAAUUGCAUGCUUAUAGAUGUUGCUUAAAUGAACAAGUUUUUCACAAAAUUUCCUUCAAGUGGUAUCAGAGCCUAGGUCUAGUAGUUGAUGAAUCCUUUUGGGUUUUGUAGUUCAUAGUUUUGAUUUAAAUGUUGUAAUAUGUUACAAGCUUUAUUCUUGUUUCUUUGAAUGUAAAUUUUUGUUAGAAAAUUUGCCAUCUCAAAUGCUAUAGAUGUAGUUCAUAUGAGCAUGAAUAUUGGAGCUAAAAUUUGGUGCCAUGUUUUUUGGAAUUUUCGGCCAAAUCCAAAGGGUGGAUUUUUGGGUUCUUGUUUGACUUGUUAAAAGUGUUUUCAAGUAACUUUUGGAACCCCUAUGUACCCUAGUUUGGUUAUAUGUUAUUUCCCUAAAGUUUGAAUGGUUUUGGGAUGUUUUUGGAGUAAAAAUGUUCAUGGAAAUUUUUUGGGUUUUUCAUGAAUGUUCUUCAUUGUUCUUGACAUUUUUGCCAAGAACAAAAAGUUUUGUGUUUUGAUUUAUUUCAUAAAGUUUAUGUUUUUCAAAUGUUUAAAUGUAUUAGAUAUUUGUUUAGAAAGGUGGUAGAAUUAUUGGUGGGUGUGUAAGGAUUAAUUCCCUUUCACACACACCACUUGCACCACUUGCAUGCUUUAUGUCAAAACUCACAAAUCAACACACACAUCACUCCUUUCCCUCUCCAAAACCGGCCACCCUUAAUGGGAGUACUUUUGGGGCUUUUAUGCAAUUACAUAAAGUUUUGAUACUUUUGUGUAUUUGCACUUUGGCCCAAAAGUUUACGUUUUUACGUUUAGUUCCAAAAACGCUAAAGGACAAAUUGUUUUUCUCCUUUAAUGAAGUUUUUGCAUUGUUUAAAUUUUGGGUUCUAGUUGUAAUUACAUGAAGUAGUGGACUUUUGUGUUUUUACAAAGUGACCCCAAAAGUUUAUGUUUUUGCAAUAUAGCCCAAAGGUUGUGGUAAUUGCAUAUUGGCCCAAAUUAGGAUGAGAACAAAAUGGUUUUGUCUCUUUAAAUGAGAAUUGGAUUUUCAUUUCAUUUAGCUCCAUUUAAAUCAAUUUUAUGGAUACAAAAAACCAAAUGAAAAUGUUGCAUUCAAUUUAAUUAGUUAAAGCGUUAAUUAAUUAAAGGGUGAUUAUGAACCUAAGCCUACGAUAAUUGAGCUAUGUGAAAGGCCGUUUCAAAUUUGUUUGAACCAUGGGAAUGUGUAGAUUAGAUUUUGGUUGUAAUUUGAUUUGAUCAAAUGUUGUAAAAGAGCUUAAGCUCUUCUUUACUUUAAAGUAAUUUGAAUCAUUCAAAUGUUGUAAAGAGUAUAAGCUCAUCUUUACUUUGAAGUACUUCUUUCUUGCUUUAUUUGAUAUGCAUGAAAUUGAAGUAGUUGGGUCCAACGCCCCUAAGACAACACGCCUUAAUGUGAUUAAACGCGUAACUAAAAUCAAUCACCAUCCCUAGACCGAGAUUCAACACUAGGCUCGUGUUGAAUCUAAACAAAGGUUCAUAGUCAUCCUAAGGCCCUAAGGCAACUAUAUAGUCCAUCAAAUGAAUGCAAAGUUUAUGUUAGUAGUAUCAUAUACUCUUGCUUUAAAAACCGUUUUAUAAGCAUAGUGGGAGUAUUAUAUACAACUAAAACAAUCAAAUGGACCAAUAGUUGUAAUAGGACCAAAAUUGUUUUAAUAAGAUUAAAAUGUAUGUUUAUAUAUGAUGAGACCUAAACCCCUCAACCAAACCAUUAUUAAGUUGACAAGCGUGAGAGUGCUUUGAACACUCUUUUGUGGCCUUCCACCGUGGUAGGCUCCAAUCGUUUAUGACUUGUACACCGCCUUCACCCUAUCAUGGGGGAGUGCAAAGUGCAUGCUUAUACUCAAGAGGAGUCUAUAUGCAUACUUGAUGUUGUGAAGCGUAGGCAACGAGAAUGAUCAACAUCAUAUCAUUGUGAGGUUGUUCUUGAACCUCUACCCGAACUUGCAUGGUGGGAAUGACUUAACUAAGUGCAAUGGAGCCAACAUCAUAUCAUUGUGAGGUGACAUUCUCUAGAGGCCAAAUAAGAUGGGUAAUCACAAGAGGUUGUUGUGAAUGAGUAAGCAUACUCUCUCAUUAUUAUUAAUGCUAGCCAACAUCAUAUCAUUGUGAGAUGGGCUUGGUAGUAGUGAGUCUCCCAUACCCUACUAAGAGUUUCCUCCAAAACUCUCGAAUUCC
Molecule: long non-coding RNA, 2676 nt
Filed under: Malus domestica (apple)
Lineage: Eukaryota; Viridiplantae; Streptophyta; Magnoliopsida; Rosales; Rosaceae
Description: long non-coding RNA (MDOM_LNC020084)
Source: RNAcentral